RNAcentral lists this ribosomal RNA (26 nucleotides) under Pratylenchus coffeae. Its description in RNAcentral is "partial 18S ribosomal RNA". The record is from RNAcentral. Lineage: Eukaryota; Metazoa; Nematoda; Chromadorea; Rhabditida; Pratylenchidae.
GUAGGUGAACCUGCUGCUGAUCAUUA